Molecule: long non-coding RNA, 1384 nt
Organism: Myotis myotis
Lineage: Eukaryota; Metazoa; Chordata; Mammalia; Chiroptera; Vespertilionidae
Exons: 2
Source: RefSeq, a predicted model, not a curated record
AUCCGCAUGGCUCCCUGCAGGUGCCAGCCCAGGCUGUAGGAGUUCAAGCCACCCAAGUGUGAAGACACAGGCCACUGCUACUUGGUCCCACCAACAGUCUCAGUAUCGGAGUGUUAAUUUGGUCUCUGUAUGGCUCUUUGUUGAUCUUUCAGGGUUAGUGGCACAUUCAGUGGGGUGGGAGGUGAUGUGCUGCAACGACAUUUCUCUCUCUUCUUGGGUUCUGAACCAACAGUGAAAUAAGAUGAAAGGAAUCUGAAGUGUUGAGAACCACUGGUUUAGGAGAACAAUCCCUUCUCUUAGAAACCCGUGGUGUGGGGAAGAGGAGUUUCCCCCUCUAACACAUUACAUGUGGAUAAAAUGCUUCCCAGAGGCAUUUAGAUGAUUUGUUGUGGAAUUUUACCAACCUAAUGCAUUAAUAAUGAAUGAACAAGUAAAAAUAGUAACACUCCCUCAUGAGGGCCUGGUGUGUGCCCUGCGCUGGGCAUAUGUAUCUCAUUUAAUGCUCUUCAGAUGACGGUGAGUUCCUUAGUUCUGUGUGAUUGAAGAGGAAGCUGAACCUGGGAAAAGCGUAGAAAUGUCCCCGAGGUCUUGUGGCUGGGUUUCAUCUUGAAUUUAUGGUGAAUACAGUCAUUUGGCCACACUGCCUUUUCUCCAAAGAUUUGGAGAAGCGAAAAUGCCAUACACAUGCUUUAACCCCCUUUCCCUUAACGAAACAAAACAAAAAAAAACGCAAUCCAGCCAAUACCUGGGUAUUUUACAAACAUUUUAGGGAGGGGGUCUGGCAACAUAGGUAAAUUUCAUUCCAGCAGUUAAAUACCUGAGGACUAGAGGGGUUAGCAGUGGCAGGGGUAAGGGUUGAAACACAAUUGCUGUUUAACAUAAGGUUAAAGCAACAAACAGUGCUUACUGUUCGCUCAGCUGCCUGUUUGUUAUGCAGGAAACACUAAAUUAGGAGUUUGGUUACAGAGCCUGAGUGUUGUGUGGAAGGGACCCAAGAAAGUGUUCUUUCUAUACAAAAUCAUUUGCUGUAUGGAAUGUAUUGUACCUAGCACUGUGUGUGUGGGCCACUGGCUUAAACUGUGUCCCUAUUGAGGCACACAUUGGCAUAAACAAUUUACCUUUAUAAAGACGUCCGAAAUUUAGCAUUCAAAAUUGUGGGAGUGGAGAAAAAUGUGUGAGAAAAAUGGAACCUAAGAUUGGGACUUUUCUAAGUAAUUCUUUUGUAUUUCCCAAGUUAUAGUCCUUAUAUGGAAGGUUUUCAUGGAUGGUCAUUACUGGGAUCGUCAUACGUUGUUCAUUCUGUCUGGGUUCAUAUGUUAUAGGUUCUCGUAUACUUUUGUUAGGAUAUGGUUUACUUUUAUUAAUAAAACUCAUAUACAUUGUC